This 701-nucleotide ribosomal RNA is filed under the name Paralteromonas sediminis. Its description in RNAcentral is "Alteromonas sp. U0105 partial 23S ribosomal RNA". It matches the Rfam family "Bacterial large subunit ribosomal RNA", at positions 2238 to 2925 of the family's 2925-position model. Lineage: Bacteria; Pseudomonadati; Pseudomonadota; Gammaproteobacteria; Alteromonadales; Alteromonadaceae. The record is from RNAcentral.
AUCGGGGAUGCGGACAGUGUCUGGUGGGUAGUUUGACUGGGGCGGUCUCCUCCCAAAGCGUAACGGAGGAGCACGAAGGUUAGCUAAUCACGGUCGGACAUCGUGAGGUUAGUGCAAUGGCAUAAGCUAGCUUAACUGCGAGACAGACACGUCGAGCAGGUACGAAAGUAGGUCAUAGUGAUCCGGUGGUUCUGUAUGGAAGGGCCAUCGCUCAACGGAUAAAAGGUACUCCGGGGAUAACAGGCUGAUACCGCCCAAGAGUUCAUAUCGACGGCGGUGUUUGGCACCUCGAUGUCGGCUCAUCACAUCCUGGGGCUGAAGUCGGUCCCAAGGGUAUGGCUGUUCGCCAUUUAAAGUGGUACGCGAGCUGGGUUUAGAACGUCGUGAGACAGUUCGGUCCCUAUCUGGUGUGGGCGUUGGAUGAUUGAUGGGAGCUGCUCCUAGUACGAGAGGACCGGAGUGGACGAACCGCUGGUGUUCGGGUUGUUUUGCCAAAGGCAUUGCCCGGUAGCUACGUUCGGAACGGAUAACCGCUGAAAGCAUCUAAGCGGGAAGCCGGCCCAAAGAUGAGUCAUCCCUCGAUGUAAAUCGUGGAAGGGUUGUUUAAGACUAAGACGUUGAUAGGCAGGGUGUGGACGCGUUGUAAGGCGUUAAGCUAACCUGUACUAAUUGCCCGAGAGGCUUAACCAUACAACGCCUAA